AUUAUGAGGAAUCCAUAUAUGAUAAAAUAUACAAGCUCCUAAAAACCUGCAUACUUCUGUUUAAGAGUCAUAUGAAUCUUUCAUCCUUUCAAUUACAUCAACUUUGCUUGGAUCUGACUUUCUCCCAUAAAAUCCAUACAAAUGUCCAACAAUAAGAACUUUUUGUACUCCAAAUGUAGAUUUUGCUACUGAAAGUGUAAGAUGAAUCUCUUCAAGUCGAGUUAAAAUCUUUUCACAAUCUUGUAUAUGGUCAAAAACA
This 259-nucleotide long non-coding RNA is filed under the name Physcomitrium patens. Its description in RNAcentral is "long non-coding RNA (PPAT_LNC012937)". The record is from RNAcentral. Lineage: Eukaryota; Viridiplantae; Streptophyta; Bryopsida; Funariales; Funariaceae.